AUUGAACGCUGGCGGCAGGCCUAACACAUGCAAGUCGAGCGGAUGAAGGGAGCUUGCUCCUGGAUUCAGCGGCGGACGGGUGAGUAAUGCCUAGGAAUCUGCCUGGUAGUGGGGGAUAACGUCCGGAAACGGGCGCUAAUACCGCAUACGUCCUGAGGGAGAAAGUGGGGGUUCUUCGACCCUCACGCUUUCAAUUAACCCUAGGUCGGAUUAGCUAGUUGGUGGGGUAAAGGCCUACCAAGGCGACGAUCCGUAACUGGUCUGAGAGGAUGAUCAGUCACACUGGAACUGAGACACGGUCCAGACUCCUACGGGAGGCAGCAGUGGGGAAUAUUGGACAAUGGGCGAAAGCCUGAUCCAGCCAUGCCGCGUGUGUGAAGAAGGUCUUCGGAUUGUAAAGCACUUUAAGUUGGGAGGAAGGGCAGUAAGUUAAUACCUUGCUGUUUUGACGUUACCAACAGAAUAAGCACCGGCUAACUUCGUG
Molecule: ribosomal RNA, 484 nt
Filed under: uncultured bacterium
Lineage: Bacteria
Description: partial 16S ribosomal RNA
Rfam family: Bacterial small subunit ribosomal RNA
Source: RNAcentral